GUAUAAGAGACAGCAGCAGCCGCGGUAAUACAGAGGGUGCGAGCGUUAAUCGGAUUUACUGGGCGUAAAGCGUGCGUAGGCGGCUUCUUAAGUCGGAUGUGAAAUCCCUGAGCUUAACUUAGGAAUUGCAUUCGAUACUGGGAAGCUAGAGUAUGGGAGAGGAUGGUAGAAUUCCAGGUGUAGCGGUGAAAUGCGUAGAGAUCUGGAGGAAUACCGAUGGCGAAGGCAGCCAUCUGGCCUAAUACUGACGCUGAGGUACGAAAGCAUGGGGAGCAAACAGGAUUAGAUACCCGCGUAGUCCCUGUCUCUUAUAC
Molecule: ribosomal RNA, 314 nt
Filed under: uncultured bacterium
Lineage: Bacteria
Description: partial 16S ribosomal RNA
Rfam family: Bacterial small subunit ribosomal RNA
Source: RNAcentral